GCCCCUGUAGCUCAAUGGAUAGAGCACUGGCCUUCUAAGCCGGUGAUAGAGGUUCGAUUCCUCUCAGGGGCACCU
RNAcentral lists this transfer RNA (75 nucleotides) under Parcubacteria group bacterium CG_4_9_14_0_2_um_filter_35_11. RNAcentral describes it as "tRNA-Arg". It matches the Rfam family "tRNA". From Rfam's summary of the family: Transfer RNA (tRNA) molecules are approximately 80 nucleotides in length. Their secondary structure includes four short double-helical elements and three loops (D, anti-codon, and T loops). The record is from RNAcentral.